CAAAUGUUGCAUUUCGUCUGGUUCAGGCAGCCUCAGAGGUGCACGUUAGCUCAUGCUCCCCGGAGCCGUGGCAGGGCAGGGACUCCACAGUCAGGACAGGGCUCUCAGUGACUUCUGAAGCAAAUGCAGACUUUGUGUUGCUGUGGAAGAAAGAACAAUUUGGCUUUCAAAAGUAUACAGUGACAUGCCUGUGGAUAUAUAGGAGUUUCAUAGGCGAUAUAUUUAGAAAACGAGCCAAGUUUGAAUGCUUGCAGCUCUGCAUAGAAAAGCCAUUGGAUGUGCAAAUUUCUCAUGCAAAAAGUAAUGACAAGUGGUAUGUCUGAACCAAUUUCAGCUGAUUUUUAUGACAGCGUAUAUUUUUUACAUGAGCUCUAAAAGUAAGAAAUGUUUUGACAAAUGUCAUCUAAAAAUAUCCUACUAAUUUCAGAAGGGCAUAAGGGUUUUUCAUAUUUGACAGUUACAGAAACUGGUAUUCACCAAACAGAAGGUGAGCUGAGCUCUUCUUUUGUUAAUAUCAUGUAGAAUGUUUUCACUCUGCAGAGUGAAAGCCAGAGAGCAUAUUGUUACUAUGCAAUAACAAGGAAUGACUUAGACAAAGUUGGGAAUCAAAAAAACAUACCAGGAGGAAUAUUGCCUACUUGAAGAAAAAGCUUCAUGAAAUGAAUUGGCACAUGGCAGAAUAGCAAAUUUUGGCUUUCAGCCUAAAUGUGAAAUAUUGCAUUUAAACACAUUUGAUAAAUACAGGCCUGUAUCUACUGCCACAAAUGUCAUGUUGUGUACAGGCCAUGUGCAACAACCUGUUUGUGUCACUGCAGGAAGGCUGAAGAAGUAUCCAUUUGCGAUUACACAAUUCCACAGCACAAACAAACCAAGCUCCUUAUUUUCAAUUUGCAAACGCCUGUACACUUAAAAGCUGCCCCUGUAGCACUUAACAUUUUAAGCCUCUCCUGCUUUAAGUACUGCACUUAUUUUUAGUGAGGUGACGAUGAAUCUUACCUAGGCAUUCUCAUCAAAUGACAGCCUGCACACCUGCUGUAAUCCAGGAGAUUGCAACAAUCAGAAAUUGCUAAUCAAGCCCUAAGUCAUGCCUUGAAAGUGCUUGUUAGAGAUUGCUGUGGGAAGGGUGUUCCCGUGUGUCAUUUGAGUACAGGAAGCACCAGGAUUCUCUGCUCAGUAGAAGAUUGCCACCUGUAUCUUGCCUGCGACAGCAAGAUUUAUUCUGCCUGAAGAUUUAGGUCACCGAAACUGGACUGAAAGAAGACUUCAGUAACUUUCAGCCCAUUUUCCUGCCUACUUUCCUUCCUCAUUAUUUAGUAGGAUUUUACCUAAUGACCAACUUUUCAUAAGAAAUUUAUUUUCUUAUGCUUCCUCCAUACAGCAAAGUUAAACCACGGUGUCAGAUGUACUGAAGACUUAGACUGAUCCUUCCUACGCAUCAGUUUUAUAUUAGUUUUAAGUAGGCUUGUCCUAGUAAGUUCAUUUUAAUUUACUUUAGUUUUAGGCUAGCUCAAAUAAAGAUGUAUUUGGCUGCAGAGUUUUCAAAGGCUGCAUUUUGAUCUGCCAGAUGGUUUUGAAGGAGCAGAGCUCAGCUGUAGUUCUCCAUCUAUACGUAGGAAGAACAGAUGAUGCCACAUGAACAAGAAACAUGCUUCCAUGCAUUAAACAUUCAAAUAAGAAAGUUGACCCCCCACUCCAGGCCCCUUUGUUAGUGUGCCCAACAGAUUCAAAUUUGUCAGAUUAGUCCUGUCUGUUGUAAUAUAUAUCUACUAUCCAGUUCUAAUCUUCAGGAGCUAAAGCGGUGGUAGGAUUCUUCUAAGGAACUACUGCCUGGUCUUGGACAGCAAAACCUAACUGGCCUGUGAGAGUACUUGUGUCUGGACCCUAAAUACUUUUGAGUGCUCUUAGAAAAAGAACUGGAGUGAAACAUUCGAUAACUAAAUUCAGUGGCAAAUUUCUCAGCCAACUCAAGGGUCUGGAUUUUCCAUUCUCUGCAUGGUGGGAGUGAGCACCUUGCUGUUGUGCGUACCUGUGUCAUGAUUUUCAGUAGUUGCAUUUUUUUUUUCUAUAGUUUAAAACCACUGUUUGACAGGAAUGGUAGUGAUUGGAGAAGUUCUAUAGACUCUCAAUGCUUUGAGACGUUAAUGAAAUAGUUUUCUAGGAUGAGAGACUGUCGUAAGCACUUGCGGAAAGGAAAAAAAAGACUUCUGUCUCCCAUAAGAAUGUAUGGAAUUCUGUAAGGUAGUAGAAACGUAUUCCUCAGUAUUCAACUGCAGUUUGGAGAAAAGUCUCAUGUUUUGUCAUAACACUUUUCAUCUGACUAGAAACAAACUGGGAAAUAAACUCUUAGGGAAAAAAUACGUUAUCUCAGUACCUGAAUAUGUACAAUUCCCGUUUGUUAUUUCAUUUAUUUAUUGUUUCAUCACUAAACUUUUAAUCUAUAAAGUUUAAUAUGUAAUAUACAAGAGUAAAAUGUACAGAAGUACCUGUAGAUGUAAUAAUUUAAACCACCUGUAUUCAGAAAGCAGAGAUAACAAGUUUAAAGAUAUACAGACAAUUGCAAUUCAACUUUAGCUGAAUUUCUCGGUGUCUAGGAAAAGAAGUGGCUUUGCUUAAGUGAAUUUUAAUGAUUGUGAAAAUACCUUUUUUUUAGUUUGUUCUUGUUCCUUUUUUUAAUUAAAUUUAUUUUGUAAAUAUUGUUUUCUAUGUUUUCUACCUUAGAAAGGCCACUAAUUCGCAUUGGCAGCAGCAGAUAGUCAACAGGUCAUUAAAAAGGUACUUACAGGGCACUGAUGGGCACGUGGUCAGUAGUCAGAUUCAUUCUGCUGGAUGACUGCGCCUGUUGUUUCUGCAGCCACACGGGUGUCACGGGAAGAGUUUUCUGGGACAGCUUAACCUGCUAGUUUUCACUGAAUUGACUAUGAAGUGUCAUUCGGAAGUGCUUACCAUUUUCAAAACAUAUAAAGAGUAUGUAUUUUAAAGUUAGUGCUAGUUCUUACUAGAAUGAGAAACAACACAAAAUUCGGGAAAAAAAGGGGAAUUCAGAAAUUAUGCCCCAGUAUAGCACAAAGAUAAGGAAAGGCGUGGUGUCUCUGCACUGUAGGUAGCCGUGGAAGUGAUAAAUGCACAUACUGGAUCAGAUCAUAGAGCCUUUUCUAGGCAAAACUGCCACUGAGAUCUGUGGGAGUUUUACCUGCAUUAGGUUCACCGUGAUCUUAUCCAUUGCCUAUUAAAUAGGAAUUUCUGGUAGACUAGAUCUUGGGAAAAAUACCCAGAUAUGUAAUAUUGGUUACUGUACCAAUUGGCUAAGUCUGAAUAGUGGGCAUGAGUGACAUUUUGAACGAAACCCUUGUAGAUGCUGCUGGGACUUCUAAGCUUUAUUAUCGAUGUAAAUUAUGUACAAACAGCUAUUUCCAUAUGAAAUGUAUCAUGGUAGUUUAGAGCAAAGAUAGUGAAUAACUGUACAAAAUUUGAUACUUAGAAAAUAAAAUACUGUGAUCUAAGCUUUACCAAUAUUUUAAAAAUACUGUCAGAUUCGUAGUAGAAAAUGUUGUUGUAAAUGUACCUUAUAAGAAAAUACACUUCCUUUUACCUCUGUAUAUUAAUAGCUUUGUUUUCUAUGUCAAAGCUCAAAACGAAGCAUGUAAUAAAACUUUUGUUAAAAUCACUUUCAUAAUAAACAUAAAAUGGAAUG
Molecule: long non-coding RNA, 3691 nt
Filed under: Gallus gallus (chicken)
Lineage: Eukaryota; Metazoa; Chordata; Aves; Galliformes; Phasianidae
Description: lncRNA (ENSGALG00010014999.1)
Source: RNAcentral